Hydra vulgaris (swiftwater hydra) is the source of this 197-nucleotide non-coding RNA. The record is from RefSeq and is a predicted model, not a curated record. NCBI's taxonomy places the organism in Eukaryota, Metazoa, Cnidaria, Hydrozoa, Anthoathecata, Hydridae.
UAGGAGUUUUUUAACAACCUCCCAAAAAGAAGAAAACUAACUACAGAAGAAGAGCAAGAUGUUUCGAGAAUUUUAACUAUGCAUGGAAACAAGUGGCUAAUAAAAGAUCAAAUACUAAAAGAAACAGCAAGACCCGAUCUUGAAAUUAAAGCAGAUAAGAGCGGAGUAUUAAAUGGCAUUUUUUAUCAAGAUGCUGA